This 429-nucleotide long non-coding RNA is filed under the name Nicotiana benthamiana. Its description in RNAcentral is "long non-coding RNA (NBEN_LNC032046)". Lineage: Eukaryota; Viridiplantae; Streptophyta; Magnoliopsida; Solanales; Solanaceae. The record is from RNAcentral.
AAAAAAUUACUCAAGUGAUAUCUGCAGAAAUUGUUGUCUCUGAUCUCUUUAUUAAGAGGAACCUGUCAGCUCAGGAGCAACAAUCUUUGUCUACGUGGUAUCAGUUGAAACGCUUAGUUACUCAUAAUCAAGUUUUACCUAAUGCUAUAGAUGCAGUUAAGGAAGCCAGUAACGCAUGGAACAACCUCAUGAGUGCAGUAGAGAGGGAAAAACUUGAUGCAAAUGAUAGUUCGAUCGAGUCUUACCUAAUGCUAUAGAGGCAGUUAAGGAAGCCAGUAUCGCAUGGAACAACCUCAUGAGUGCAGUAGAGAGGGAAAAACUUGAUGCAAAUGAUACUUCAGUUAAGACAGGGAAACAGAAACAAUGCCCUCAUUUUCUCAGCAAAACCAAUGCUACAGAAAUUGAUGCCAGUGGCUUUAAGUUGCGAUU